GGCCGGUUAGCUCAGUCGGCCAGAGCGUGGUGCUAAUAACGCUAAGGUCGUGAGUUCGAUCUCACACCGGCCA
Molecule: transfer RNA, 73 nt
Filed under: Dendronephthya gigantea
Lineage: Eukaryota; Metazoa; Cnidaria; Anthozoa; Malacalcyonacea; Nephtheidae
Description: tRNA-Ile
Rfam family: tRNA
About the family: Transfer RNA (tRNA) molecules are approximately 80 nucleotides in length. Their secondary structure includes four short double-helical elements and three loops (D, anti-codon, and T loops).
Source: RNAcentral